GAUGAACGCUGGCGGCGUGCCUAAUACAUGCAAGUCGAGCGAACAGACGAUGAGCUUGCUCCUCUGACGUUAGCGGCGGACGGGUGAGUAACACGUGGAUAACCUACUUAUAAGACUGGGAUAACUUCGGGAAACCGGAUCUAAUACCGGAUAAUAUAUUGAACCGCAUGGUUCAAUAGUGAAAGACGGUUUUGCUGUCACUUAUAGAUGGAUCCGCGCUGCAUUAGCUAGUUGGUAAGGUAACGGCUUACCAAGGCUACGAUGCGUAGCCGACCUGAGAGGGUGAUCGGCCACACUGGAACUGAGACACGGUCCAGACUCCUACGGGAGGCAGCAGUAGGGAAUCUUCCGCAAUGGGCGAAAGCCUGACGGAGCAACGCCGCGUGAGUGAUGAAGGUCUUCGGAUCGUAAAACUCUGUUAUUGGGGAAGAACAGAUGUGUAAGUAACUAUGCACGUCUUGACGGUACCUAAUCAAAAAGCCACGGCUAACUACGUG
RNAcentral lists this ribosomal RNA (497 nucleotides) under uncultured bacterium. RNAcentral describes it as "partial 16S ribosomal RNA". It matches the Rfam family "Bacterial small subunit ribosomal RNA", at positions 28 to 507 of the family's 1533-position model. The record is from RNAcentral.